GUGGCUGUCACUGCCCUUCCCCACUGGCUGCGAUGUCACGCGAUGGCUGGCAGAGGGGGCAGGGACAGGGCAGGGGCAUCUGUGUAAAUUCAGCAAGGAGCUGACAGUGCUUUCAUGCAGUUUGUCUCUAAUCUGGCAAGUCCCACGGAUGCCCACUGUCUGCUUUUUCUCAGAGCUGCUGCCCUCAUUUCCAAAUGGAAUGGAUGACAUAUUUAGGUCUGCUCUCCAGAAAGAUGCUUUAAAACCCCUCCAGCUGACUGCAGCCCCAGUCUGUGUGCGUGCGGGCACAAGGAAAGGAACCAUAGCUCUCAGGUACUAUCUCCACCCCAACACAACAGCGCCUCCAGCCAUUUCCUCUUCUUAACCUCAUUGUGAACCACAAACCUAAAAGCAACUGAUGAACAGUCUUUGGAUAAGGUGCCUCAGACAUUGUCCAAACUGAAAACUGAUUCACAGACAAGUUCUCUUGGAACUGCACUUGCUUUGGGAAGUCUCUUUCCACCCAAAAGCCAACUAGAAAUCCAGGCAGCCUUCCUUCCUCAACCCUAGAGGUAACCUUACCCUUAUUUGACCUUUGGACAUGGCCUUCCACAUACAUCCCAUGCAAAUAGCAUCUCAUAGCGAAGACCUCCCGGCAGACUACUUUUUCCUUUUGCAGACACCUUCUCCACUCCACAACAAUUGUACCCCCACACUAUCUCCGUCCCUCAACCUUAAUCAUAGAACCAUAGAAUAGCUGAGGUUGGAAAAGACCUUAAGGAUCACCAAGUCCAACCACAACCUAACCAUACUACCCUAACUCUAACAACCCUCUGCUAAACCAUGUCCCUGAGCACCACAUCCAAACGGUUUUUAAGCACAUCCAGGGGUGGUGACUCAACCACCUCCCUGGGGAGCCCAUUCCAGUGCUUAACAACCCUUUCUGUAAAGAAGAUUUUCUUGAUAUCCAUCCUAAACUUACCCUGGUGCAACUUGAGGGCUAAACCUAACUGUACACCUACAUGAGGUGUGACUCAUGUAAACCUACAUGAGGUGUGACCUUCGGGUGGGUCAUCCACACAUAGCCCCUGCAGAAGAUAACUCAGAGAUGAUCUCUCAGCAGCUUGCACUUUCUCUGGGCAGCCCCUCACCAUUGCAGUGAACUGCAAC
Gallus gallus (chicken) is the source of this 1149-nucleotide long non-coding RNA. The record is from Ensembl. NCBI's taxonomy places the organism in Eukaryota, Metazoa, Chordata, Aves, Galliformes, Phasianidae.